GACGAACGCUGGCGGCGUGCCUAACACAUGCAAGUCGAGCGAGUGAAUCUCCUUCGGGAGUGAAGCUAGCGGCGGACGGGUGAGUAACACGUGGGCAACCUGCCUCAUAGAGGGGAAUAGCCUUUCGAAAGGAAGAUUAAUACCGCAUAAGAUUGUAGCUUCGCAUGAAGUAGCAAUUAAAGGAGCAAUCCGCUAUGAGAUGGGCCCGCGGCGCAUUAGCUAGUUGGUGAGGUAACGGCUCACCAAGGCGACGAUGCGUAGCCGACCUGAGAGGGUGAUCGGCCACAUUGGGACUGAGACACGGCCCAGACUCCUACGGGAGGCAGCAGUGGGGAAUAUUGCACAAUGGGGGAAACCCUGAUGCAGCAACGCCGCGUGAGUGAUGACGGCC
RNAcentral lists this ribosomal RNA (391 nucleotides) under uncultured bacterium. RNAcentral describes it as "bacterial SSU rRNA". It matches the Rfam family "Bacterial small subunit ribosomal RNA", at positions 28 to 416 of the family's 1533-position model. The record is from RNAcentral.